CGAAGGCAGCGUUGACCUCAACAGCCAUUCCCACAUUGCAUACUCCACCACCCUUCGUUCUCCUCCGACGCGCUCAGCGCCAGGGCUUGCAGCUUUGGAUCUCAAGCCCAUCGGCCGGUGACGCAGUCAUGCACAAGGAUGGGAUCUCCAAGCUCGUCCUCCUCCACCUCUUCGGGGUCACGGUCGCAGGCGCGGCGGCGGCGGCGGUGCGAUACCACCGGCAGAGGAAGCAGCGGCCGACGACGACGAUGGAUCUCAGGCUGAUGCCACGGCUGGUGCUGACGGAUUCCGGCCGGGUGGAGGAGCUAGAGCGGUUCUCCCACUAUGUUGCAAGGCAGAUGGGGUUUGAGGACAUGAACGAGUGCCCUCAGCUUUGCAAGUUGGCACGUGAUUACCUCAAGACAAAUAAGGGGUGUGAGGACAACAUAUUUGCCUUCUUUGCCAAUGAGCCAAACCCUGAAUCCCUCUAUGUGAAGCUUGUAGAAGAGCUGGACAAAUGCAUACUGGCCUAUUUUGCAUUCCACUGGAACCAUGCAACUCUUCUUGUUAGUCAGGUAUUGAGUGCUGACAGCCCCAAAAAGAAGCUCAAGAAUUUUGUUAUGGAGGCCACAAGGAAACUGAGGUUCGAGAGGGUGACAAAAGACCUGAAGGUGACAAGAGUGUUCUCUACACUGGUGGAGGAGAUGAAGGCCAUCGGAAUCGAAUCCCGCUGCACCGACGUCAUGGUUCCGGCGGCCCUCUCCGACCGCAGCCCGGUUCUGCUCCUGAUGGGUGGUGGGAUGGGAGCUGGCAAGAGCACCGUGCUCAAGGAUAUACUAAAGGAGGCUUUCUGGUCCGGAGCGGCGGCGAACGCUGUGGUGGUGGAAGCCGACGCGUUUAAAGAGACAGAUGUCAUUUACCGCGCCAUCAGCUCCAGAGGCCAUCACAACGACAUGUUGCAGACCGCUGAACUGGUCCACCAGUCAUCAACAGACGCGGCUUCCUCCCUCCUGGUGACCGCACUGAACGAAGGUCGAGACGUGAUCAUGGAUGGCACCCUCUCGUGGGAGCCAUUCGUGCAGCAAACCAUCGCCAUGGCACGGAACGUCCACCGGCAGCGCUACCGGAUGGGAGUCGGAUACAAAGUCGUCGACGACGGGACCAUCACGGAGAACUACUGGGAACCGGCAGAGGACGACGACGACGAAGACGAAGAAUACAAGUCCAAGGACAGGAAGCCUUACAGGAUUGAGCUGGUUGGAGUUGUCUGUGAUGCCUAUCUCGCAGUAGUUAGAGGGAUCAGGAGAGCUAUAAUAAUGGGGAGAGCAGUCAGGGUGAAGUCACAGUUGAAGUCCCACCACAUGUUCGCCAAUGCCUUCCCAAGAUACUGUCAGCUCGUCGACAAUGCCAGGCUCUACUCCACCAACACCAUGGGAUCGGCCAAGCUGAUAGGGUGGAAAGACGGAAGCAGCAGUCUGCUGGUAGAUCCCCGAGAGAUCAGCUGCCUGGAGAACGUGAAAGAGUUAAACGAGGAGGCCGAUUCCAUCUAUCAACUCUACCCUCGGUCCAACACCAGUUGUGGGUCUGCUUCGAUUUGGAAUGAGAUGGUGAUGUCGCCGACGAGAACACUGAUCCAGCAAGAACUGAAGGCGGCCGUCAAAGCGAUCGAGAGUCGUGGAUCAUGACUCACUCGAUCUGCAAUACUGGAUAUAGAUAUAUCGUAUGAGCAAAGCUUUCGGCUCACUCGUUAUAGCUCGAGGAUAACGUGAAACGAUGGAGGAAGAAGCUUCACACACACACACACACACACACACACACACACACACACACACACAUAUAUAUAUAUAUAUAUAUAUAUAUAUAUAUAUAUAUAUAUUAUAUUACUUCAAUUUUUCCUGUGACAAUAAUUUAGUCUUAUUUCGCACAAAUAUUUCAGUAUGAACAAUACUGAUUAGCCCAUUAGCCCAUUAGCCCAUUAGGCCAACCCAACUCCAAUGGGUCGGUCUUGGUUGGCUGUUGCCCGUUUAAAUCGACGGCCGAUAGGUUCGACUCGGUCGACUCAUUUCGAUCGCGCCAGCUGUUGCUAAGAGAACCCCGUCGCCUCGUCUCGCCGCAUCUUCUCGUCGCUCCGCCUUCUGGAGUAAUGGCAGAUAAAAGAGCUCAUAAAACGAGAUGGGAGAAUGAAAGCUCACUUCGGUGCACCAUUUGCACCUGAGUGAGAAUAUACUGGGAAGACUCCCUGUCAAAUCUCUCCCGAGGUUCAAGCUAGUCGGCAAAGCUUGUCAUGCCAUGAUCUCUGACCCUUAAUUCAUCCGUGCUUAUCUGCAUCGCACCAAGAACAACCCUAUGAUGAUCAUGAUACCCACUAGGUCAAUUGUUCCAUUAUGCCAUAAGCCCAAACUCCAACACGACAUCAGGUCAAAUGCUUACUGGGAGGUCAGCCCAGUGGCCAGCUUCAUGGUCCGAAUAAAGCUUCGUACACCAGCAGUAUACAUUGGUACGCUUCUUCACUGCGACGGGCUUCUCAUCAUCACCACUGAAUCUCAAACAUGUGUGUAAUUCCUCCACGAGAGAGCUUUAAGAGUUUGCUGAGACCCAGCAACAGUUGCUUGUUACAGGAAGACUUUUCUGACCACCUUGGGUUUGGAUUCGAUCCUCGUACAAGAAAGUAUGAGUUGGUUUGGUACGUGUUCCAUUGGUGCAAAGAGAGUGCCUGCAUUAUGUCGAUGGGUAUGGAGGUGCUCGUCUUAGGAAUGCCUGGUUGGAGGGUGGUGGAAGAGGACUUCACCUUAUCCUGUGACGUAUCACACUGCUUACUCUACUUACUUUGAUGGAGCCGUGUCCUGGAAGAUAUCCAAGUUGCUUCGGACCUCACAUCUGCAACACUUAUUUUUCUUCAAUCCAAGAGACGAGAAGUCCAGAGCAAUUCCUGUCCCCCCUGGUUAUCCCUCAUAUGCGGAUGAUAGAGUCAAUCUAACAGAGUUUAAGGGCCACUUAUGUUUCGUUUUUUCACAAUGAAUUUUGGUGCCAUGGAUAUAAGGAUGUCUAAGGAUGGGUUGAACCCAGCAUGGAUUCUGAACUCAGCCUUGCGUAGCCUCUUCUUGUUUGGAGAGUGGAAUGAUAAGUUCUUGUUGCAGGCACAGAUCCUAACGGCUACAACAAGAUGCAAGUGGCAAUAGCGGACAUCGACCGUAGAAAGGACUGUGAUUUCAAAACGACCAAUUAUGUUGAAAGUCACUAACUUUUGAUGUGGUUCUACUUGGAGAUGUAUUGGUUUGACGUCUCUUACCGCAGGAUGCUUAGCAGUCUCGGUGUUUAUUAAGAUGUUUUAUAUAAAAAUCGACAUUCAAAUUGUUAGGAUUUACAGUUUUUGUUGUUGUUGUUGUUGUUGUAUAUAAACUAUGUUUAGACAUAUAAAAUUCUAGCUUGCUUAAUCUAAAUGAUGUUCUAAAUUGGCUGCGGCACCAAA
Musa acuminata AAA Group (dessert banana) is the source of this 3448-nucleotide RNA transcript. It is a transcript of the gene named calmodulin calcium-dependent NAD kinase-like, with no coding region annotated. The transcript is spliced from 11 exons. Lineage: Eukaryota; Viridiplantae; Streptophyta; Magnoliopsida; Zingiberales; Musaceae. The record is from RefSeq and is a predicted model, not a curated record.